CUUAUACUCCCUCCGUCCCAUAUUAAGUGUCGCAACUUUGUCUAGAUACACAUUUACCUACACACUAAAACGCGUCUAGAUACAUGCGUACGCGUAUCUAGACAAAGUUGUGACACUUAAUAUGGGACGGAGAGAGUAUUUG
Non-coding RNA from Brachypodium distachyon (stiff brome), 142 nucleotides. The record is from Rfam. NCBI's taxonomy places the organism in Eukaryota, Viridiplantae, Streptophyta, Magnoliopsida, Poales, Poaceae.